Molecule: long non-coding RNA, 999 nt
Organism: Gallus gallus (chicken)
Lineage: Eukaryota; Metazoa; Chordata; Aves; Galliformes; Phasianidae
Source: Ensembl
GAAGAGCCAGGCUUUAGGAAACAAGGAGCUGCUUCUCACCACAAAGGGUCAGGAGACACUGGGAUGUAAACCUCUGCUUCUCCCUAUGCCUGUGUGGAGUGCUGUGUGUUACUCUGAGUAAACCUUUUGAAAAGAGCCGGCCUGUUGCCACCAUGCUGAAGUUUCUGUAACUGAGAUGCAGCUGUGAAAUGAAUGGCCAAGAUGAAGGCAUUCAAGUGCCUCAAGGGCCACUCUGAAGUAGAAGAGAAAAGUAAACCGUGAAUAACCAGGAAAAAGAGAGAAAAAAAUAACCCAGAUGGAAGAAUACAGCUUGCAGUGAGGAUGUCUCUGUGACACCAGCUGAUGGCUUUGCUUGCUUAGAAAGAGAAGAAAGAACACAAUUAGAAGAAACUACACAACUUCGUAAAGUCAAAGCCUUUCCACCCCUUGUCUUCCCCUCCAAGUCAGUAAGAUUCUGCAUUAGAAAAGCACCACCGUUCACAAACUUACCAAGGGCUAAGAUUUACAGUUUUUAGACAAGAAGUGAAAUUAUGACCAAGUCUGACCCAUGGCUCCAGAGACAGGUGUCUCCUUCCUUUCGCUACGGGGAGUUUAAAAAGUCACACAAUUUCCGCUGACAUUUUUCUCCAUACGUAACAGGAGAUAAUUUCCUUCCUUCCUUUCUUUGUUUUGUUACUAGAGUCUUGACCUGGCAAAAAGCUCAAAUAUUUGAAGUUAUUACAUGGCAUACAAAAUAAAUAUAUCUGCUUUUGGAUGAUACAACACAAGAUUACUUCUUUGAUAAAAUUCUCCCUCACACUGUGUAUGUAGGUAUUCCAGAAGGCUGGCCUCUGAAACACAGGGCUUGAGACAUGACAGUUCUGUGUAGUGCAAAUUCUGCAAAUAAAACAGCCAGAAGAAAAUUCUCAAGAAAGUAUUUUAACUUUACACUUUCAGGGAACUCUAAUUAGGGCUUGCAUAACAUGUGAAGACCUUUCAAAGACUAAGUUUUUAUCUGUG